RNAcentral lists this ribosomal RNA (772 nucleotides) under uncultured marine bacterium. RNAcentral's name for it is "bacterial SSU rRNA". It matches the Rfam family "Bacterial small subunit ribosomal RNA", at positions 14 to 794 of the family's 1533-position model. The record is from RNAcentral.
UGAUCCUGGCUCAGGACGAACGCUGGCGGUGCGCCUUAUGCAUGCAAGUUGAGCGAAGCUUUUCAGUAGUUUACUACAGAAAAUGACUGAGCGGCGAACGGGUGAGUAACGCGUGAGCAAUCUACCUUAGUUACUGGGAUAGCCCGAGGAAACUCGGAUUAAUACCGGAUAUUCUUAUUUUUUCACAUGAAGUUUUAAGGAAAGGUCAGCCGAACUAAGAUGAGCUCGCGUUCUAUCAGCUAGUUGGUGGGGUAAAAGCCUACCAAGGCAACGACGGAUAGCUGGUCUGAGAGGACGAUCAGCCACACUGGGACUGAGACACGGCCCAGACUCCUACGGGAGGCUGCAGCAGGGAAUAUUGUGCAAUGAGCGAAAGCUUGACACAGCGACACCGCGUGUGGGAUGACGGUUCUAGGAUUGUAAACCACUUUCAGGAGGGAAGAAAAUGACGGUACCUCCACAAGAAGACCCCGCCAACUAUGUGCCAGCAGCCGCGGUAAUACAUAGGGGUCAAGCGUUGUCCGGAUUUAUUGGGCGUAAAGAGCUCGUAGGCGGUUCAACAAGUCGGUCGUAAAAGUUUAGGGCUCAACCCUAAAAUGUCGAUCGAUACUGUUGUGACUAGGAUACGGUAGAGGUGAAUGGAAUUCCGAGUGUAGCGGUGAAAUGCGUAGAUAUUCGGAGGAACACCAAUUGCGAAGGCAGUUCACUGGACCGUGAUCGACGCUGAGGAGCGAAAGCUAGGGGAGCAAACAGGAUUAGAUACCCUGGUAGU